UCGUUUUAUACUAAAUAUUUCAGAUUCAAUUAAAUAUUGAACUUUGCGAUAUAGUGAACACAAUAAAAUUAUGUUAGAAACGCAUAAUUAUUUAAAUAAUUUAUGUCUGCGGUGGGGCAAGAGUACAAUAUAACAUUACACAUAAUAUUUGACGUGGAACAGAAUAAAUAAAUACUAUGCUAUACAUUAAGGGUGUACAUUGUUUUAUUUAAAAUAAGCUUUCAGUAAAAAAAGUCUAAAUUUUUUAAAC
Non-coding RNA from Cinara cedri, 250 nucleotides. NCBI's taxonomy places the organism in Eukaryota, Metazoa, Arthropoda, Insecta, Hemiptera, Aphididae. The record is from the annotation of a GenBank genome assembly.